UCAUUGAGCUUUUGAACACUGCAAAAUGCAAACACAGAAUAAGGUUUAACAGCAGAACCACCGCCAACCAACCAAGAAUUAACUAAAGGAAUAAGCACUUCCCUCAUUCAUUAUUAUGGAUGCCUGGUUGUUGACUGGUAGAAUUAUCUGGAAUCCAAUCAUCACGUCAUGCCAAGAAGGCAAGGCUUCACUGGAACUGGGCCAGUGCAUGGCACAGUGGGUUGAUCCUCCGCCUGCGGCGCCGGCAUCCCAUAUAGGCACCGGUUCUAGUCCCGGCUGCUCUUCUUCCGAUUCAGCUCUCUGCUGUGACCUGGGAAAGCAGUGGAGGAUGACCCAAGUCCUUGGACCCCUGCGCCCACGUGGGAGACCCAGAGGAAGCUCCUGGCUCCUGGCUUCAGAUCAGUGCAGCUCCAGCCAUUGUGGCCAUUUGGGGAGUGAACCUGCGGAUCAAAGACCUUUCUCUUGUCUCUCCCUCUCACCGUC
Non-coding RNA from Oryctolagus cuniculus (rabbit), 483 nucleotides. NCBI's taxonomy places the organism in Eukaryota, Metazoa, Chordata, Mammalia, Lagomorpha, Leporidae. The record is from RefSeq and is a predicted model, not a curated record.